CAGGACGAACGCUGGCGGCGUGCCUAACACAUGCAAGUCGAGCGAGGAGAUCCUCGGGAUGAUCCUAGCGGCGGACGGGUGAGUAACACGUGGGCAACCUGCCUCAUAGAGAGGAAUAGCCUUCCGAAAGGGAGAUUAAUACCUCAUAACAUUGCAGUUUCGCAUGGAACAGCAAUUAAAGGAGCAAUCCGCUAUGAGAUGGGCCCGCGGCGCAUUAGCUAGUUGGUGAGGUAACGGCUCACCAAGGCGACGAUGCGUAGCCGACCUGAGAGGGUGAUCGGCCACAUUGGGACUGAGACACGGCCCAGACUCCUACGGGAGGCAGCAGUGGGGAAUAUUGCACAAUGGGGGAAACCCUGAUGCAAGCAACGCCGCGUGAGUGAUGACGGCCUUCGGGUUGUAAAGCUCUGUCUUCAGGGACGAUAAUGACGGUACCUGAGGAGGAAGCCACGGCUAACUACGUGCCAGCCGCAGC
RNAcentral lists this ribosomal RNA (475 nucleotides) under uncultured bacterium. RNAcentral describes it as "bacterial SSU rRNA". It matches the Rfam family "Bacterial small subunit ribosomal RNA", at positions 25 to 518 of the family's 1533-position model. The record is from RNAcentral.